This 34999-nucleotide long non-coding RNA is filed under the name Capsicum annuum. RNAcentral's name for it is "long non-coding RNA (CANN_LNC021726)". The record is from RNAcentral. Lineage: Eukaryota; Viridiplantae; Streptophyta; Magnoliopsida; Solanales; Solanaceae.
GUGAUAGGACCAGGUCCCUCUCUUUCUUGAGUGAAUUUUAAGCUUGUGAUUGCAUCAACUAUUUUUUCCCAAAGCUGAACCCAUGGAUGUAUACCUGCAAAGGUAUGGUACUGAGUUAGAUUAACAUGCACUUACAUUAUCAUAGAUACCUGUCUCCUUGACAUAGCAAAUUUUGAGAAGUAACACUGACUCAGAUGUUAGGUCAGGGCAUUUUGAUCAAGCUCAGUCUCAAUUUGAUCUUUUAGAACAGGUUUGAGGGCCAAGCUCUAGAUUUUUUCUUUACUCAUACUGCCUCAAGUUUCUUCUUUUAGGAUGAAUUCCUUUGGACCCAGGUCCCUUGUAAUCAUCUCUUACAAAGUGAGACAUUUUCACGUUGAAGUGUCUUGAGAGUGAGAAUUUAAUCAGAUCUUUAAAAAUUGAGUAUACAACACAACUAUUAACAGACAUUUCAUGACUGUAAUUCCCCUUCUCAUACCUGAAUUCAUGAUAACAAGUUGGAUUUGGGAAUCCACUUAAGUUUGAGUUUUCAAAAAGAAGACAAUGGUGCGAUCAAAACUUUCUUGGCCCAUUUAGGUAGAGAAUUGUUCCUCACAUUUUUCAGAGGUUUGAACUCCUUAUGUUGUGUACUCUCCUGAUGAAUAUAUCUGAAAUUAUUAAUUCUAGAUCUUAUCCAUCUCUAACAACUUGCCUUAAUAUGCUCAUCCUUUUCACAAUAAGUACACAUAGGAAUGAAAACCUUAUUUCUACCACCAUUGACAGUCUUUCCUUGCCACCCAACAAGUUGGAAUUCUCUUUGAUAGCCCAGUCCUUCGCCAUAAUUAACACCCUGACUAAAUAGUUCAGGAAGGAUCUAUGAAUAAGCAUUCCAUUUAACAGACUUGUUCAACUCUUCUCUUAAGCGGACCAGGUCCUUUUUUAACUUUUCAUUCCUGUAAAGUGCAGUAAAGAAUUUUUGGGAAUCUUCCAAUCUUUCCUUAAGAUUAACUUGAAGCCUUAAAGCUACUUUCUUCCCUUUUCCAUCUACAUCAUUUAUUUUCUAUAGAUUACUUAUCAAACUUAGAUUUUUAGAUUUCAUCUCAGUAGUUAGUUCACAUACAAAGUGUAUCAACAGACUCGCAAGCCUUUAUAUUUUUCUAGCCAUGUAAUUAUCGAGAUUCUCCUUAAUAUCAGAUAGUUUUACCAUUUUUUCAUCCUCUAUGUCUGCUAUGAAUGUAAAUAAGGAAUCACAGAUAACUGGACUAUCUUUCACUACGAGCAUAGAAACAUUUCCUAUCUUCUCAUCUUCACCUGAAUCACUGGAAUAGUCUCCCCAUCCUGCUAAAGCUUGCUUUACUACAUAACCAACUGCACCCUUUCUUCUUGAUCUUUUAGGUACCUGGUCCCUUAACUUUCCCUUGCUACCUGUAGCUUUAAGGUAAUCCUUAUAGUCCAUUUUGUGUAUUGGACAAUCCUUAAUGAAAUUCUCAGGAAUUCCACAUUCGUGACACACCUCAACAUUACUUCCUUUCUUGCUACUGUUUCCUCUUCUUUAAAACUGACCACUCUUCUUCAUGCCCUAACAAUCCUGCUUUCCAGAUAGGCAACUUCAAUGUCUUCAUCAUCAGAAUCAUGUUUAGAAGCCUUCAAAGCUAGGGAUUUUUAUAUUUUUACUUCCUUCUUCUCCAUUUUUUGCUUCAGUUAUGGCAUCUACCUUGCUUUUCCAGGACUUAGGAAGAACACCAAGAAUUUUUCUCUCUUGUUUGUACAAAGAAAUCACUUCUCUUAGGCAAUGAAGCUCAUUUGUAAUAGAAGUUAUCUUGUAUGCAUCUCUUGGAUUGUUUCUCCUUUUUUCGUAAUGAAGGUCUCAUACUGAGUAGUUAGCAUGUCUACUUUUGAAUCUUUCACAUCACAAGUACCUUCAUGAGCGGUCCUCAAAAAAUUCCAGAUCUCCUUAGCACUUUCACAAGAAGAAAUUUUGUUGUAUUCAUCAUGCCUUAUACCACAAACCAACAGCUUCUUGGCUUUGUAAUUUUUUUCAAUCCUUCUUUUAUCUUGAUCAUUGAACUCUUUCCUGCUUAUGACAACAAUUCUUGUAAUUCUCAUUCUUUAACUUCUCUAACAAGAACAUGAGAACCAUCCAGAAGUAUGUCCAUCAGCUCACUAUCUUCAGCCUUAAUGAAGUCAAACAUCCUGGUUUUCGACCACCCAUUGUACUGCUCAUUAAAUCUAGGUGGCCUAGUGGUAGAUUUCCCUUCUUCCUGAUUAGGUGGAGCCACCAUGAUAGCCAAAUCACUCUAGGUAUGAACUUUUUAGAGUGCUUUGUCUUAAAUAUCAAUUGUUGAAACCCUGAGGGUUGCACCACACAGUGAGGGCCAGGUCCCUUAAAGUCAAUCAUAGACAAAAACUAUUAAAAUAACCACCAAUCAAAGAAUAGUGCAGGAAGAGUAAAAACACAAAAUUUUAACGUGAAAACCCCCUUUGUUCAAGGAAGGAAAAAACCAUGGCUUGCCCUCACAAGUACUUCAAAAUCCACAAUGAUCAAAAUCUUGAUUACAGCCUUCAUUGAACUUAACUCUAGGUUCCUUUCGUGUGUAAUAACUCUAUUACAAGCUCAUCUUGACAACUCUGUCAAGGAACCUCUACACUGAUUAACUCUAAUAAGUAUCAAGCUUGAGACAACUCUACCUAAGCACUUCCCUCAUCAAUGAAAAACACUACUCUUAUAGCAUGAGUAAUUCAAUUACAAAUCAGAUCUCACACAAGAACAGUUCCUAAUUAAGCACACAUAAUCUGCUAAGAACUUGAGCAGUGCUGAAAAAUGGAGUUUUUGUUGCCUCUCUUUACUCUUUGUAAUUGCAAAAAUUGUUUGAUAAAGAAGCAUUUUUUCUUUUAUAGAUGAGUGAUGAUUAGGACCGACAAAAGAUUGGUCCAGGUGUCCCAUUUAGUACGAUCAACACCUGCAAGUUUGUUACAUAAGAAGACAAAGCUUGUGCAGACACGCAUGCCAGCUAUGUUGUACCAUUCACAUCAAGGGACCUGGUUCCUUGCAGUUAGCUGCUCAUCAUCUAUAUAGAAAUACGGAUUGACCGAACCCUUAAUUUCACUGCCAGUGCUGCAGCUUUUUGCACCUCCGUUAUGUUCACUUUUAAGUCUUGUGAUAAUAUAUACAUAUAUAAUGAAUUUUUUUUAUUACUUUGAAGCUAGUUAAGAAUACAAUGUCAAUUUUCAAUGCACAUAUCUUACUUGCUCACACACCAAUAAAUACACACAUAUCUUGAUAUUUUUCAUGUAAACAAAAAUAAAUCUUAAUUUUAUUUAUAACAAAAAGAGCAAGAAAAACUCGUACGAAAAUGGAGUCAUGAUUUCAACUUUAUGGAUUUUGAAAUUUAAAAUAAUGACUUCAGUUGUCAAUAAUUGGAUACUACAUUUAAUAUUUUCACUUUUUUUGUGAACUAGUAAGUUCAAAUACACUCUUUGUACAACAUCUAGAUUAUGCGUCUCUUAUUAAAGACUUAAUGCAUGACAAAAAAGAGCACAAUUCAUAUCAUAUCUAACUUAAGAAGAUGCAUGCUGUCCCUCAUAUCAUUAAAAUAUACUUCAAGGACUCAAAAAAAUCAGAUCUAAUUUGAUUGAACAAAAUUAGAACUUUAUAAAAAAAAAAUGCAUAGAAAUCCAUUACUCAAUUACACUAAAAAGGCAAUACAUACUUUGCAAAAUCAUUUCUGUAAUAUCCCGAGACUCUAACCAAGUGCAACCAUGACUCAAGCUCAUGAGAAGUAAAUUAUAGUGCUUUGGCUAUUUUCUGAUCAAGGAUGAUGUGUAUUAAGGCCUCAAAGAUGUCCUAGCAAUUAGGUGAAUCAAAACAUUCCUUACCGAUUGAAUUCUUGGGAACGAUAUUGCCAUAUUCAACUUUAAAUGAGCAUAUCUCUUAUUAUAAUACGAAUUAUUGAGCUCAUGACCUACCAAAAGAUAGAUAAUUGAAUUAAAUUUCCAACUAUACCAAUUUCACUAAAAUGCGGUAUCGGAUCCAAGAUUUAUGCCCAUUUUACUCCAGCAUAUAAGGCUGGAAAACUAAGUGACGACAUUUUGUGAUAAGCUGUCACAAGUGUGACGACUUAUCACCAAUGUCGUCAGCCUUAGGAAGAUUUCCACCCCCAGUGAAGACAUUUUGUGAUAAGUUGUCACAAGUGUGAUGACUUAUCACCAAUGUCGGAAAUGAUGACUUGUCACAAGUCUGAUGACUUGUCACGAAUGUCGUUAGCUAUUUUUUUCAACAAUUAAAGGACAUUUUUGCAUGGGUAUUUUGGUCUUUUCCAUCUUUUGGAGGCCCCUAUAUAUAUAUAAAUUCCCAUCUAAACCCUAAUUUCUUCAUUCUCUCUUCCAAUUCUCUUAAGAAAUAUAUCUAGGGUUUUUAUUUAAGGACAUUAAUCUUCCAAAAAUCAUCCAUAAAUCUUCAAGAUUUCUUCAAGAAUCAAGUUCCUCAUAGUGUGGGCUCCAAGAAUCAUUUAUUACAAGUGCAGAUAAAGUCUCAAGCUCUAGAAUUCAUCCAAUUUCAAAAAUUAAGGUAUGUGGGGUUUUGAACAAGAGCAAUUCAUUCGUUCUUGUGCCCAAAGCUUUGAUUUCUAUCAUGGACUUAUAUGAUUUUGCAAGUGGGUUUAUACCCAAAUUACUUCAUCAUGAGAUUAUGAGAAUAUAAAUUGUUCAAGCUUUGUUAUACAUGAUUAUUUUGCUAUUCCCAAGUUAUGACUUGAUGUUUAAUAUUGUGAAUUUCAUAUUUCUACCAUGAGUUGAUAUUUGACGUGCUUUCAAGAUAUGUGUCAAGCUUUAAGCUUCCUUAUGAAUGACAAACUAGAUUAUUGAGUAUAUUGAUUCAUAAGAUUGAGUUGUUACAAUGAGUCUUGAUAUUUCCUCAAAGUUAUUGAUGUUGUCAUGAUUUAAUGAAUUGAUACAUUUUGAUAUUGAGAAAGAUUGAUUUGAUUUGAGUCGAGUUAGGAAUCCACAAAUUGAUUAUGAUUUGAUAAAUGAGAAAGAGAUUUGAUUUGGUCUUCAUGAUAGAUCCUUGUGAUAUUUGUGGUGGAUUUCCUAACGCGUUCUGAGCUUGUUUCUGGGAGUAGUAUUUAGCACCGAGCAGGAAAUGUGGUAUUUCCCCAAAACUACGUGCCACUGUAGGAUUGAUAUUGAUAAUUAUGGGCCAGAGGCUGAGUAUGAGAUUAUGAUCACUAUGUUUUGGUUGUACUCCCUAGCAAGAGUACGACGCUCCCGCCAAUGUGGGAUUCUGUCCUUAGGAGGGAAAAACAUUGGAAUCCAUGUAGCUUACAUGGUUUAUGUCGGUUAUAAGAACCUUCCAUAUCCAUAAGAGUUGAGUUUCUUGAAUUAUCGAGUCACUCCGAGUCUUUACUUGAAGAGUCGAGUUGUUUAUGAUUAUUUAUGAGGGUUUUAUCAUAUGAUUUAUUUACUAUGAGAUCAUGAAAAGUAUGUUUCAAUCUAACUCAAUCCAAGUGAGCUAUCAUUGUACAUAUGCAUAUUUUUUUUAAAUUGAUGAUGAUAUUUGCAUUGUUACAUGCACCCCCACAUACUUAGUACAUUCCAAAGUGUUGACCCACAUAUAAUCCUAUGGACUACAUUUUCUCGUAAUGCAGGUUCAGGUACUCAGCUACAGCCGUGUUAGCGAUAUUCGAGUGCCUCAACUACGUUCCCCCAGUGGUGAGUCCUCAUAGUUUGAGGACUGUGUCUAUAUUUUUGGUGAUAUCGUUCUGUUGUUACGGCUUUCAGUACUGUUUGAGUCAGUUGGGGGUUUGUCCCAGUGGCUUCUUGAUUUUUAUUUAUAGAGGCUUUGUCAGACUAGAGGGUUGGUAUGUAUAGACAUUCAAUAUAUUUUGGUUGUACAGUCUAGUAUUCUCCAGUAUUUCUCAUGAACCCGAUGUGGUAUAUCUCUUUGUUAUACAUGACUAUUGUUGAAUUGAAUUUCUCGAGGUAGUGUCUGGCUCCGAGGGUUAGCUUGGGGCUACGUGUAGCCCUAAGCACCGUAUGGCAUCUUGGGAUGAAAUUUUGGGGCAUUAAAAUUUCCCCUAAUCGAUCGUGGUGAAGUCAAAAACAGAUUCAUCAAAUCAUACACCUUACGCUACGAUUGAUAUGAGAAUGAGUUGAGUUUUAUGAAAAAGAUGAGACGGAAUUUUAUUACUCUAAGGAAAUUAAAUUAUGUUGCUGAUAAGAGGGCGGGGAGGAAUUUGAUGUUACAAAUUUGGUGAUUUUAGGAGAUGUGCAUAAUCACUUGAUGCGUUUCUGACCCAGAAGGGAUGAAAAAUGAAAGAACUUGUGUGCACUUUCUAUGGAGUGGAGUGUACUAUCAUGCCUUUAUUUAUUUUUUAAGUAAAAAAAAAAGAACCUUAAAAGAAAGAGACAAAAAUCUUAAUACCUAGAACAUAACGCCUAGACUGUAACGCUUAGAGCAUAACACCUAAAAUGUAACGCCUAUAUAUAUACUCUUCACAUAUAUUAUGAAGAGUUAACUAAUCAAAUCUUUGUAAUCGAUUUUGGAUUCUACUUUCUCUCACCCUAUACCAAAUUCAACUUGAAGAAAUGAAAAACAAAAGAUAUUAAGUUUUGUUUUAUAUAUAUCUACUGUCACUAAUAGAAAUUGCAAACUAAGUUUUAUGUUUUAGAUAUAAAACAAAACUUAGUAUUCUUUGCUUUUCAUUGCUUCAAGUUUAAUUCGAUAUAGAGUGAGAGAAAGUAGAAUCUAAAAAGGAUUACAGAAAUUCGAUUAGUCAACUCUUCACAAUAUAUGUGAAGAGUAUAUAUAUAGGCAUUAUAUUUUAGGUGUUAUACUUUAAGUGUUACAGUGUAAGCGUUAUAUUUCAGGUUGUAAGAUUUUUGUCUCUUUCUUUUUUAGGUUCUUUUUUAAAAGUAAAAUAAAAAAUAAAGGUAUGAUAGUACACUCCACUCAUAGACCGUGCACACCAAUUCUUCUUUCAUUUUUCAUUUCUUUUGGGUCAGAAACACGUCAAGUGACUGAGCACCUCCCUUAAAGUCAUCAAAUUUGUAACAUCAAAUUCCUCUCUGUCCUCUUCUCAGCAACAUAAUUCUAUUUCCUUAGAACAAAAAAAACCCAACCUCAUCUUUAUCUUAAAACUCACCUCACUCUCAUAUCAAUCCUAGCUUAAGGUAUAUGAUUUGGUGAAUCUAAUGUUGACUUCACCACGAUUGAUUAGGUGAAAGGAUUUUGCAAAGUAUGUUUUGCUUUUUUAGUAAAAUUGAGUAAUGGAUUUCUGAGCAUAUUUUUUUUGAUAAAGCUUUAUUUUUGUUCUAUCAUAUUAGAUUUGAUCUUUUUAAGAUCUUGAAGUAUAUUUUAAUGAAAUAAUGGAUACCAUGCAUCUACUUAAAUUAGAUAUGAUAUGAAUUGUCCUCUUUUUUGUUAUGCAUUGAGUCUUUAAUCGGAGAUGCAUGAUCUAGGUAUUGUACAAAGAGUGUAUUUGAAAUUAGAAAUUCACUAAAUAUGUGCAAAUAUUAAAUGUUGUACCUAUUAUUGGCAACUGAACUCAUUAUUUUUAAAUUCAAAACCCAUAAAGUUGAAAUCGUGACUACAUUUUUGUGCAAUAUUUUCUUGCUCUUUUCAAUAGAACUACUACUAGGUAGCAUUAUAUUAAGCUAAUUAUUUUAGUUUUUACCUCUAUAUUCUUUAAAAGAAAAUUAUUUAAGUGUAUGGGUGGUUAAAUUUUACUAAUGAAUGGCCCAUAAAUUGAUAAUUCAACCCAAUUUUUACUCAUUUAGUUUCAUGGAUUGUCUACCCAAUUGAAAGGUCUUCACUUUUUGUUAUGUAUUAAACUUGCAUCCAAUGGCAGAACCGCAUUAUGGCUGAACCCCCUUCGGUGAAAAAAUUAUACUAUUUUUAUAUGGGGAAAAUUAUUUUUUUUAUAUAUAUAAUUGAUGUUGAAACCCUGCGGUUAAUUCGUGUGCCAACAUUUUUCGAUUUUGAACCCUCUUGCUGAAAAUUCAGGCUCCGCCACUGCUUGUAUCUAGUGAGGCAUAGAUUCUUUAAGGAUGUUGAGAAUUAGUACAGUAACAAAAACAAUUGGGAUUGGGAGGUAAGUGUAAGCAGCCCAUACCACUAUCUCAGAUGUGAGAUAGAUAGGUUAUUUCUGAAAGACCCCCGGAUCAAAACAAAACAAUCUAGACAAGGAAUAGUAAAAGAACAAAAUACAAUAGAAAUCAACAUAUCCAAUAAUACCAUAAACAAGAUACAUCAAGUAAUACAACAUCCUAAACUCAUACUAACCUUCUACUCUAAUGUGUCUCCUCCAUAACUUCGUAUCUAGGUUCAUAUCCUCGAUAGGUUGGAGUUGCUCUAUGUCAUGUCUAAUCACCUUUCUCCAAUAUUUCUUCGAUCUACCUCUACCUCGCUAGAAACCAUCCCCACACUUGCUACUGGGAAUCUGUGCCCCUUCUCAUCAUAUGACCAAACCAUCUCAACCUUGUUUCCCUCAUCUUGGCUUUCACUGAAGUCACUCCUACCUUAUCUCAGAUAACCUCAUUUCUAAUACUAUCUUUUCUAGUACACCCACACAUCUACCAAAGCAUUCUCAUCUCCGCUACCUUCAUUUUCUGGAUGUGGGCCUUCUUAAAAGGCCAGCACUCUGCCCCAUAUAAUAAAAUCAGUCUAACUACCACUCUAUAAAAUUUUCCUUUAAGUUUAGGAGGUACCUUUUUGAUACACAAGAUUUUGGAGGCGAGCUUCUACUUCAUCCACCCUACCCUAAUCUAUAAGUGACAUCUUCGUCAAACUCUCCAUUCUCCUAAAUCAUAGACCCUAUAUACUUGAAACUAUAUCUCUUAUUGAUAGAAUGAGUAUCAAGAUUAACAACCAUAUUAGACUCAUGCUACACCUCACUAUACUUAUACUCCAUAUAUAUCGUCUUGGACCUACUCAACCUAAAUACAUUAGACUCAAGGGUUUGCCUCCGAACCUAUAAUUUAGUAUUUACUCCACUACAUGCCUCAUCAAUCAAGACCAUAUCAUUCAAAAAAAGCAAACGGUAAGGCACCUCACCUUGAAUUUGCCACAUCAAAACAUCCGUUACUAAGGUAAAAAGGAACGAACUAAGCAUCAAUCCUUGGUGUAACCCCAUCAAAAUAGGAAAGUGCUCCAAGUACCCUCUCCUAGUCCUAACCCGAGUCUUCGAUCCAUUGUACAUUUCCUUAAUCGCCCUAACAUACACCAUAGGUACACCUUUAGCCUCUAAACACCUCAAAAGAACCUCCCUAGAAACUCUAUCAUAAGUUUUCUCUAAGUCAAUAGACACUAUGUGCAAAUCCUUCAUUCUUUCCCUAGUCCAUCAGUCUCCAAGCGAGAUGGAUGGAUUUAUUAGUUGAGCAUAUUGACAUAAAUACAAACUAAUUUUCAGAAAUAGUAACGUUCCUCUACAACCUCAAUAUACCCCUAUAAUUAUUGCAAUCCUGAAUGCCACCCUUACUCUUAUACAAUGGAAUCAUCUACUCCACCUCCAAGCUUCAGGCAUCCUUGUCGUCUUGAAAAUUAUGUUAAACAACUGAGUCAACCACUCUAUUCCUGCCCCUCCUGUGCACUUCAAAAAUCCAUGGGAAUCUCAUCUAGCCCCAUCACUCUACCUCUACACAUCCAACGAAUAUCCUCCUUAACCUUUUCAAACUUAAUGCACCGCCAAUAACCAUAAUCGCAAAACCUUUUGGAAUGCUCCAAAUCCCUUAACACAAUGCUAGUAUCCCUUCUUUUAUUCAGGAGCUCAUGGAAGUAAGACUGUCAUCUCUUUCUAAUACGACCCUUCUCCACCAAAACUUUGUUGCCCACAUCCUUAAUACACUUCACUUGAUCAAGGUCCAGAGCCUUUCUGUCCCUAACCUUAGGUAGCCUAUACAACUUUUUUUCCCGAACUUUACUAUCUAACGUUGUGUAUAAACUCUCGAAAGCAGCAUCCUUAGCCAUCGGGACCGCUAACUUCACCUUUCUCCUAGCAAUCUUAUACUCCCAAUUUUUCCAUUUAUCCUCUUCAUCCUUACUCUCGGCAAACUUUGCAUAUGCUUUCUUCUUAGCCUCCACCUUCUUCUUCACCUCUUCAUUCCACCACCAGCUCCCUUGGUGUUUGCUCGAGAGGCCUCUCGAGACACCCAACACCUCUCUAGUUGCCUCCCUGAUACAACUGGCAAUCUUAUCCCAUAUACUAUCAGCAUCCCCUCCACUCUCCCAAGCCUUCCCCUUCAUCUACUUAUCCCUUAUAUCCAGUGCACUAGCCAAAGUCAGAUUGCCCUAUCUAAUACUUAGAUGAUCCUCCAUACCUCUUCUUCUCCGUUCCUUUAUGAUCUCCAAGUCCAUCACCAAAAGCCAAUAUUGGGUCAAAAGAUUCUCAUUCGAUAAGAUGUUACAGUCUUUACAAAUACUUCUAUAUCCUUUCCCAGGGAGUAAAAAGUCAAUCUGGGUCUUGGCUAUUGAAUUACGGAAGGUACCAAGUGAACCUCCUUCUUGGGAAAGUUUGAAUUAACUACCUACCACCAAUCCAAAUGCCCGAGCAAAAUUCAAAAGUGACACUCCUUCGUCAUUCCAUAUACCAAACCCACAGCCUUUAUGCACAUCAUCAUAACCCCUUGAAGAAGACCCUAUGUGCCCAUUGAAAUCCCCUCCUAUAAAAGCCUUAUAAUUACUAGGGACAUCUCUCACCAUCUCGUCCAAAGCCUCCCAAAACCUUUUCUUCUCAUCCUCAUCCAAGCCUAUAUGCGGCGCAUAUGCACUAAUAAUAUUCCAAGAAGACUCUCCAAUAACUAGUUUAAUUGAUAUCAUCCUAUUGUCGACCCUCUUAAACUCUAGGAUACCUACACCAUUCCUGUUCCUCACGCUUCCUGAGUACCACAACUUAUAACCAUCUAGUACCCUCGCCUUAGUACCUACCUAUUUGGUAUUUUUGAGACAAGCUAUAUUAAUUCAAUUUUUUUCUAAGAAUUUUCACUAGCACUAAUGAUUUCUCUAAUAAAGAACAUAUUUUCCACGAUCCUACUCUCAACUUACAACCACCUUUAGCCCUUUUACCCUUCCUUCUCCCUACCCUACCCCGACCCCAACCCCAGCUCCACCCAAAGACAUGGCCCUAAGUCAAGACCAUUUUCCAAAACCAUCAGAGACUAGAGACUGCACCAACCAAUAGCACUAAGAGCACACAUUCUAGACAAUAAUGUAAACCAAAAAUGUUACUAUCAAGCCCACACUACAGAACUACUAAGGACAAUAAAAAUAAAUAAAACGCAAGUAGAAUUAACAAGUAAAUCACUACUAUGAAAUAUAGAAAUAAAUAAGUAAAUUGUCAUCCAUAGACAAGAUAGUCAGCGAAGGCGCGAAGAUAAAAGGGAUUGAAGUACAAAUAGUACACAAGACAGACAGUAGCAGCCACUAGAAUCAAGAAAGCUAUACACACGACUUGAAGAGAUGGAGUGAGUGCACUUGAUUGAAGUUGGGUCAAUUUGCUUGGUCGAGUCAUCAAAUUUUGAUAAUUUACAAUAAAAAUUGGUUGCAGAAAUCUUGACGUCACCGUUUGAGAAGAGGUGUCAGAUCUGGACUUGUAGUACCUGUAAAGGGAUAGAAAGAAAAGAGAAGAAAGUUAUGGUCGCACGAGAAGUGAGGAAAAACAAUGAUUAGUUUCACUGGAAACUAGCGUCACUUGUCGAAAACUGAUAGGUCGCUAGUCUGACGAGAAGCCGCUAAAGUUUAGUGGUCGACACAAGAAGUGAGAGAAAUAAUGACAAUCCGCUUAUCCAAAAACUGACGUCACUCGACGAAAACUGAUGAGUUUGUUGGGUCGUAGAGAUGGGAUUGAAUCUUGGAUGGACAGAAGAAUUAACCGGAGUAAAGUCGCAGGUAACCAGUAGGAGUUGACCACGACGACGAUUAAAUAGAUGGACAAUGGAAGGAGUCGACCACGACAAUUGCCAUUUGUUUCAAAUCCAAAGUUGAGCAUUAGUACAAUUUUUGGAAAAUAUUUACAGAAGAUUUCUGCUCUUAACGGAAGAGCAAUUAACUCCAAUAAGUAAUGACAAUAUUUAAUGUGAGUUUAACGGGGUUAUAUUAGUCAAUCUGCACUCCUUAUUAAUUUCUCCUUAAGAGUUGUACAAAAGACAAACAUGUCAAGUAAUAUGACAUGAAGGGAAUGAUAUAUAACACAUAACUUGUUGAUUAUGUGAAAAUAUAAACUUAUGCUCCUCGGAAAAUCAACUUGCUUUGAGUGGCAAAUAUUAAAUGCCAACAAAAAGAAAAGAAAAAUCUUAUUUAGAGGUCUCGAGUACAAGUUUCUAAAAAAAAAUUCCUCUUAAAAGCAUUGUUCUAGUCUCCUAGAAAUGGACCUUGUUGUGCUCAAAUUCUUGACAAAAGUGACCCUAAAAUGUGCAAAUUCAAAUUUAAUCGAAUCCCAAAAUAAAGAUGAUGGUUCAGGUGAAAAAAAAAGAAAUAAUUGAUAGUUGGAAUGUGAAGCUUGUGAAAAAGUAAUAGUUUAGGUGAUUUUUUGACCAUUAAUUCUUAAGAGAAACUAUAUCAAGUGUGUUUUUCAAGCCAAGUAUCGAGCUUGUGAACUCUCAUUGCUUUAGGGUGUGUUUGGUAUGAAGGUAAAAUAUUAUCCACAGAAUUAUUAUUUCAAGAUUAUUUAUACAUUAUUUAGCAAAAAGCUCUAGAAGUGGGAUGGGUUAGGGUGUGGGGUCUUGAGGUUGAUGGGGUGGGAUGGUCAAGGGCAGAGGUAUCAAAAUGAACCCAAAUUGAGCUAACCUGUCCAACCCGUCCAAUAUUUAAUGGGUUGGGUUCAAGAUAAUUUACUAUUGAGUAAAUCUCAACUCAUUUUUAAAUUGGGUUCAAAUGAGCCCAAUCAAUCUCCACUUCAACCCGUUUGAUAAAAAAAAUAAUUUUCUUAAUGAAAGUAAGAAAAACAAGAAAUAAUAUGUCCUCCUACUCUCAAAAAGACCCACCACACCUCAUCCCCACCUCACCCCAACCCCACUACACCCCUAGCUUACCCUACUCACCCUGCCUCCAUUAACUAUAUUAUUUUUAAUUCUUAAAAAGUUUUUAUAAAUAUUUUUGCCCCCACCCCACCUAAACCAUUGCCCUCCCUACCCAGACUCCCACCCUCACCCCCUCCUCCACCCAAAAAAUUAAUUAUUUUAAUUUUUUUUUUUAAAAUUAACAAUCUUUUCUUACCUCACGAUCAAAAUCCUACCCUCUCCCCUUCGCCGCAUCCCCUACUCCUCCCAAAAAAAUUAUUUUUGUUGGGCUUGGGUGGGUCAAGGCCCAACCCAAUUUUUACCCAUUUCAACCCAAAAUAAAUUUGGGCGGGUCAUGACCUAACCCAGUAUCCAAUUCAACUCAUUUAAUAUUUUCAGUCUCAACCCAAUCCGCCCAUUUUCCCCAUGGCAUACCCCUUUCUCAAAAAGUUAUUUUUAAAAAAAAAAUCAAUCAUUUUUUUAAAAAAAAUUCUUACCUCUACCCAUCCUAACCCCCAACCUCCCGGUGCACCCCUCCCCAAAAAAUAAAUUUUUAUUUUUUUAAAAAUUAAAUUUUUAUUUUUAACUAAGUGGGUCAAAUUGGGCGGGUCAAGGUCCAACCCAAUUUUUAUCCCUUCCAACUCAACCCAAAGUGAAUUUGGGCGGGUCAUGACCCAACCCAGUAUCCAAUUCAACUCAUUUAAUAUUUUCAAUCUCAAUCCAUCCCACCCGAUUGACACCCCUAGUCAAGGGGUAGGGGUUGGUGGUAUUAAAUAGAGGACAUAAUAAACACAGAAUGCCACUUGUAGAACUUGUUUUUCCUACUUCCAUUAAGAAAAUUAUUUUCCUCAUUUUUAAGCAUCUUUUUUUACUAGCCAAGUUCUUCCGACUAACUUUUUGGAAAGAAUGUAGUUAAUUGAGGAGGCAGAGAGUAGUGUUAGUGUUGUCAUGUGGUUCGUUAUAUUGAAGUGUCAGCAGUGAUCUAGUAACAAUGAUGAUCUAUUUCUUUUAUUUUUGACGAAAGUUGGUAAUUGUGUAGGAUUCGAAAAAUCUUCAAUUUACGAUGCACAUUAAUAUACCCUCUUAAACUAUCUAUCUAUAGCAAAUGAGCUUCGGGAUACUAGAAAUGGACUCACCUUUGCAAGCUAAAUAUGAAGAUCUCGUCACUUGCUUAAUCUUCGAGAAAAUUAAUGGACCAAAACAAGAGUACACGGAAUUCAUCAUUGAAGAGCGCUUCCAGCAGCGCCAUUUAAGAAUUAUGUUAGGGAAGUCACAAUUAGAAAACCCUACUAUAGGGCAUUUUUAUAGUUGGGCAAGAACCAUUGGUGGAUCGGGUCUUGACUCUUCAGAUAUCUUUUUAUUUUCAUUUUUUGGGCUCACUUGAGUAAUUUUGAACAAACAUUACUUUUUUUAUUUAAUAAAACGGGUCAGGCCCAAAGUUAAUUUUUUUAAAAAAUAUAUAUAUCUCAAAAAAUCUUCUUGUUAUAUUUUCUUCUGAUGACGUUCAAACCCUCUCCUCAAAAAGAAGAAAGUAUACACAGUCGUCAUAAUAUAAUUUAUCCAAUUAUGAGUCAGGUUGAAUUCAAUAGGAAACAAUUUUUGAACAUAGUAAUUUAAUUUAAACUUGUAAUGAUCUAAUGUAGAGUUAAACCACCACUAAUUAUUGUGAAUCAAUUGUUCUUAGCCUCGAAUAAUAGUUCUUUAAUAGUUUGUCUCGAACACUAACAAGACCACUGGAAAAAGAAAAAACACUUUAUUACUUACUAACAGUCUAUUAAGAUUCUUGUUCUCCUAAUUUUCCUAUCUAGGAAUAGGGUCAUGUUCUCGAUGAACUACGGUUGUGUCAUAUUAUGUCUAUUCAUUUCUCCGUAAUUCUUCCUUGGUUGAUCUCAGAGGCAGAGCCAGCCUAUUAAUAAGGGGUUCAUCCAAACCUCCUUCGAUGGAAAAUUUUAUUAUUCAAAUAUGAUUAAAAUAAUUUUUAUUUUUAUAUUGUAUAUGUUGAACCCCUUGAAUAGAAAAUCUUGUUGUGCCUGUGACUGAUCUUUACCUCUCCUCGGACCUAUCACUGUCAAUCUCUUGCACUUCCUCACAAGGGCUUGUGCAUUUUUCCUCUUCACAUACUCGAACUAUCUCAACGCCGUUCUUGCAUCUUGUCUUUCACGAAAACUAUUUUCACAUUGUCCCACAUAUAUUUAUUAUUAAUCUUAUCUCUUCUAGCAUAUCAACGUAUUCCUCUAAGCAUUUUUAUUUCUGCUAUCUUCAUCUUUUGAGUCUGAGAAUUCCUGGCUGACCAUCAUUCCACUUCGUGUAAUAUAGUCGGUCUAACUAUCACUUUAUUAAAAAUUUUAAAUCACAAUGACACAUUCUCAAGUCAUCAAAGUAAGAUAAUAAAUUUGCUAGAAAUCUUGGAAUGAGUGAAUAAGAGUUUUGGAAAGACAAAAAUGUCACAAAUGUGACAAGACAUGACAAGUGUUCGAACAUCAUCCUGAAUUAGUUAAUUUCAAAUUAGUUGUCAUAUUCCGCUUCUAUAUAAAUUAAGUAAUAUUUUAAAAUAUAUAUUUUAUCAUAUUCAUAUGAUGAAAAAUUAUAAAAUACAUUUUUCCAUUGUAUUAAAUAAGAAUAUAUGAAUUGGAAAAAAAAUCCCUCUAAGUGAUUAUUCGACAAACCUUUCGAAACUUUUUUAUAUUGAGAAGUAUAUUUUGAAAAAUAAUAUAUAUCUUUUAAUAUUGUAGUAGUAUUUGAUUCAUUAUUUUUACAAUAAUUUUAUCAGAUAAAGAAUAUUACAUGUUUUAUCAGAAAAUUACAAUUUUUGAAAUUUUAACUGUAGUUCAAAAGUAAUUAGUGCUGACAAUUAAUAGUUCACAAAAAAUCAAACAUAGCACUGUUUACCUUUUAUCAUCUCAAAUUAAAUUUAGUAUAAUGUUAGAGAUAAUAAAAUUCAAAAUAAAUUAUAAAGAUUCAAACUCAUAUUUUAUUCAAUAUAUUCAACUCUUUUCUCCUUCAAGGUAUUACGUUCCUUGUAUAUCCUUUUUAGGUUAUAAUUUAUAAUGAUUUUAUAAAGCUUUUUUUAGUGAAUUAAAUGAUGAUUUUUGUAUUUGUUGAUGAAGUUCUCAUUUUUAGUUCUACAAAAUUCACGUGAUACAUAGAUAAAGAGAAGAAACUUAAGGUCUAGACAGCGGCGGACUUAGAAUUUUGAGUUCGUGGGUGCUCAAUUUUUUUAAAAAGGUAUAUUUACUAUUAAUUAUAUAGUAUAAGUGCACAAUUAUUUGAUGAUGACAAUGAAUAAAUUUGAUUAAAACUAUUCAUAUUUAUAUUAUAAAUAUCAUGAAUUUUUUACAAAAACACAAUCGCCGAAUAAAAAAAAUUGUUGGUUAAGAUAAUGUUCAAGGGUAAAAAAAAUAAAAUAUUUAGGGGUCAAACUUUGGUGUCUUUAAUUAUUUAUUUAUGAGGUCAACAUUAGGAUUUGGGUCAAAUAGCAGCAACAAAACAACUAUUUAUGAAGGCAUUGGAAUAAAGAACUAUUUAUGAAGCCAACAUUGGGAUAAAGAACUAUUUAUGAAGCCGACAUUAGGAUUUGGAUCAAAUAGUGGCAACAAAAGAACUAAAAAUUAUGUCAAAAAAGAACUUCAAUGGGCUUUGAACUCUCGCACGCUCUUACUAGAAAGUUUCCAUCACCAAUCCACUAAGUCAGAUUUAAUGUCUGUGGAUGAUUUCUGAUUUAUUAUAUCUUUUUUCUUCAAUUUCUAAUAUAAUUGUACCUAUUCUGAGUUAAGAUCAAUGGGUGCUCGAGCACCCAUUUUUUAUCUGUAGGUCUUCCCCUGGGUCUAGAAAGAGAAAAGAAUUGAAGAUCUCUGCAAAAAUGUAGGUAGUUAGAUUCAUCAUACGUAGUUACAUUAUCCUCGAUCUUAUAUGACUAGAGUUGGGAAGAACUUAAUAUAAACAGGCAAUUGUCUAAUUGUCAAUGCUCAAGUUGAGUGCUUAAAAAUCUAUAAUUUUAAAUUUUAUACCUAUUAUCACAUUAAUGUCUUUAUAUCCAUGAUCCUCGAAAAUUUCACUAAUAUAAGCCAUUUUCUCACAACAAUUUAAGCAUCUAAAGCAGAUAAAUUAAUAUGAUUAAUAUUUCUUGGUUGUUUAACUUUGAGAUCCAAUCUGAUCCAUUCUUAACAUAAUGCGAGCACAACAGUUUGCUAUAGGAGUGAAACUCAAUUAAAUUUAAAUUAAAUAUUUUUUUGAGAUGAAUAUAAAUCAUACCUAGACUUAACAAGUUUUCUUCAUUCUUUUUGAGAUUCUGCAAUUGAUCUUAAUUUUACAAGUAAAAAACUACAUAUUAUUUGAGAUUUGGUUCAAUUCACUUUUAAGUUUUAUGAUUAUAUGUAUAUAUUAAAUGAUAAUAUUUCAUUACUUCACAACUAAUUAAGAAUUUAAUAAUGUCAACAUUUUUACUCACGCUUUAAUAGAUAGAGAUACAAAAAUUAAUUUUGAUAAUAUAAAAAAAUAUAUAAAUAAAUUCUACUGAACUUUUUAAAGAGCUUAUACAGUGUUCUACCUUCUAUGAAAGUAGGUAUAGAAUAUGUAGCUCAUGGUGAAAAAUAUAACUACCAAACUAUCAAACUCUAAAAUUAUCGCAGAAAUUCAUAAAAAAAAAUGAUAUAUAUUACUUUCAAUUUGAGAAAGUUACAAGUUCACACUGCUACCAAAGCAAGUCAUUUAAAUACUUACAAAAAGCUAAUUAAUCUUCAAGAAAAAACUUUAUAAAACAUAACUAACAUUACCACAACUAGCUUAUUUAUUAAUUUCUUAUUGUUAAUUUUGUUUCUCCAAAAAACUCACGACUUUCAAUUUCUCUCCAGUAAUAGAAAAUAUUUGUGCUAUUUUUAUAACAACGAUAUUAGGGGAUCUGAAAAGUCUGAAUAAACUUAAUUUUAACUAUUCUGCUGAGCAAUUAAUCACAAUUAAAAAGAUCUUAAAAUUAUUAGGAUUAGAGCAAGACCAAUUUCAAGAGAGAAACAAUGAAGAAAACAUAACAGUACGAAUCUAAACAUGAUAUAUCACAAAAAACAGUGAAACUCACAAAAAGAAAGAUAGAAGGUCGUUAGAUCAUACUACAGACAUCAGGAAUUACGCUAUUUAUAACAUCGCAGAAAGUUGGGAUACAUAAUAUAACAAUAUUUAAACUUAUAAAGAUGUAAAGGCGACCCAAUUUAUCUCAAAAAAGACACACCUCAUCAAAAGAAUGAAAGAUCCCAAAUAAAGAUGGUUGUACAACAAAAAAAGAUGGAAUCAAAGCUCAUAAAAGACAGAUCUGGCGGUUAAAAUGAAGAAGAAGAAAGAUCAGGCUCAUAUGAAAUACAGACUAAAAAAUGAGGAUUGAAGAUACUCACCAAGUUCAUCUAAGUUGAAGUUAAACGAAGUCCUUUCGAAUCUACGGAUUGUGGUGAAUUUUCAUAGACAAAGGACAAGAUUUGAAGUCUAUAAUGGCUCUGAUACCGAGAGAGAAUAGAUCUUGAAAGAAUAAGGAGAGAAAUAACUUUUCAGCGCUGGUGGGUCAAUGAAUAUAGGGAAAACCCAGCCUUAUAAAGCCCUAAAAAAUUAUUCUACAACUUAGAAAUAAACUCAUUGUUUAGCGGUGGUGUUAGAAACAAACUCUAAUAUUUGUGUUGAAAUAAAAAUGUAUUGGGUCGUUUUGGUUGUUACUUUUGAUCCUUACGUGGAAUUUGAUUGAACUGCAGAUUUUAGCUCAACUUAAGGGCUAAAUUUGGUUUCCUUUUGGGCUCUUUUGGACGCAAUUUUGGAUCUCUUCAAAACUAAAUUUUAGUCCCCAAUAUUUCUAUUCUUAGACUUUAAAUUGGGCCUCUAAAUAGCUAUCGCAUUUUAACAAUUCAUUUUUCUUGGACUUGAACUCUUCUUCCCCAAAAGAACACCUUUCAAUUGGCUAUUGUCGUGUAAUCGAUAAGUCACGAGUUUAACCAAGCAAUUAUUAGGUCAUGAGUUCAACCGAGCAUUACUAAUGAUGUUAGCAUUAGAAUAGAAUAUCUACAUCGUAUCACUUACAAUAUCAUUCUUUCUCUAAUUUUGCUGGGUCUCCCUUUUUUUUUACUUUAGAAAAACAUCAGAUAAAUUAAAACAAUAAUUAAACUAUCAUUCACUGAGCGACACUUAGCAAAUCUUAUUCAUGCUUUCAUGAAAGAUGAAGAGUCAUGACUUGUAGGUAGCAAGUUCAAACAAUUACUUACUAGCUCACAAAUUUAAACAAGCAAUUAUUAGAUGCCAAAUUCAAGCAAGUAAUUACUAGGUGACAAAUUCAAAUAAAGUAAUAACAAAGUUAUAUCACUAGCCAAAUGGAAAUGGCAAAUCUUAUUUAGGAUUUUAUGUGAGCAAUUACUUGCUAACAAACCCGGAAAUACAAUUAGUGAGUCACAAUUCAAGCACAAUAAUUAUACGAUCAUGAGUUCAAGUAAUUUACUAAUACAAUUUAUAUUAGUGUAAACUAUCUGCAUCACUCCCGUUCGAGUAUCUCCUUUUCUCAAAUCCUAAUGAAUGUCUUAAAUACAUAUAAUUUUACAAAGAUCCACUGAUUCAAAAACUCAACAAUAAUAGUAACUGAUUAUUUUUUAAUAUAAUCUUUCCAUAUAAUAUAAACAAUCUAUUUUACAUCGUGCAUAGUUUUUCUGUGCAAAAUUUAAGGUGACGAAUUAUAAAAUAUAAAAUUAUCAAUUAAAUUUUACCUUUUUAUUAAAAAAAUAAUCACAUUUGAAAUUCUAUUUUUUGGAAAAUUUAAAUUAGUUCUAAAAUUAAUUAAAAAAUUGGGCAAGUUUAUGUCAAUGGGUCUAUGGUAUUUCUUGUUUUCCUUUUCCACCUUCACUUUACCAAUAAUAAGAAUUUCUCAAUCAUGUCUUGAAAAAGUCUUUGAUAGGCUGGAAUGAUCCUUCAUUAGGCAAGCCCUAAUUUUUUUCAAUUUUCCCCUGGGCUCUGCAAACUUAUCAUGUCGUGCAUCUCCACAUCAUCUAUUUACAUCCUUAUCAAUGGGGGCUACACAUCUAGUUUCAAGCCUUCCAGGGGAAUAAGAAAGGGCGAUCCCCUAUCUUCUUACAUUUUCAACCUUUGUAUGGAGCUUCUGUCUAGAAGGAUGAAUCAUAAAGUGGACACUCUUCAGUGGAAUCCCAUUCAGAUUAACCGUAGAGGCCUAAAAAUCUCUCAUCUUUUCUUCGUGGAUGACCUUACCCUAUUUGAUAAAGAUGACAUUCUCAAUUAUACUACCAUUGCUAGAACUCUUGCCAUCUUCAACACUCACUCCGGCCAAAAAUUUAAUCUGGCCAAAUCUAAGGUGUUUUUCUCCUCCAACUGCCACACCUCUACUAAGGAUCAUCUCUCAUUUUCUCUUGGCAUUAAGGCCAACAACUCUUUUGGGAAGUACUUGGGCUUUCCCAUUUUCCAUGGCCCUCCUAAAAUCAAUGACUUCUAAUUCAUUCUAAAUAAUUUAAGUGCCAAAUUAGCUGAUUGGAAAGUCAAAUUCCUAAACAUGGCCGGUAGGACCACUCUUGCCAAGGCUAUUCUGGGAAGUAUCCCCAACCAUGACAUGCAGUAUAUCCUUCUUCAGAUUCAUAACCUUAUUUAUAAGGCCUAAAGAAACUUCAUCUGGGGGACUACUGACUAAAAAAAAAAUGCACACGGUUAGGUGGGACACUAUCACCCAACCCAAACACUUGGGUGGUCUUGGGAUACAAAAAACUAGUAUCAAGAAUGACACUUUGCUUUGUAUUUUAGCCUGGAGACUACAUCUAAUCCCUAUACCUUAUGGGCUAGAGUUCUUACCCAAAGAACACACCUAACAUCGGAAGACACAUUUCCUCCCAUUCUAGAAUCUGGAGGAAUGUUCAUAGAGCCUGGAACCUCUGUCAUAAUUUUUCCCAAUGUUUUGUUUAUAAUUGCCAAAAAUUUAAUAUUUGGAGAGAUAGAUGGGUCCCUAAUCACCCUCCUUUAUUCUUCAUUAUUCAAGGACCACUUCCCAAACCCUGUCCCUCCUUGUAACUUUCUUCCUUUUGGCAAAAUGAAGUCUGAAAUCUUGAUUCCCUCCUUUUUGACAUUUCCAACACAAUUAAAUUUGACAUCCAAAACUCUUUCCUGCCUAACUAUAAAAGUCAAUCUGACACUCCUCUCUGGCUUCCCACCAGGAACAGAGUCUUCUCUUGUAAGAUUAUCUACCAUCACUUAUUCUAUCAAAGGCAGUACUCAAGUCAUAGCCACCCUCAGCUAGGUUGGAUUGUCAAACUGUAGAUUCCUAACAAAAUCAAGUUCUUUCUUUGGCUCCUCUACCAUGACAACCUUAGCACCAAUUCUACUUUGGACUAUAAGGGUUUAACAUCCUUCCUUACUAUCAUAAUUGCAACCAUCAGCUGGGAGAUGUUCCUCACCUCUUCUUCAAUUGUCUUCAUGUUGUUUCCUUCUGGAAAGACUUCAUUCAAGGUUAUAAAGGAGACAAAGACAUUCCCCCCAAAUUUUCCACCCUUCUAGAUGGAAUAACACUUGGAAGGUUUUUAAGGAUUCUAGUUAUGACAACCUUUGAGAUUGGGAAACCUUACUUCUAUUUUUUUAUUGGACCAUCUGGAAGAAUAGGAAUUCUAAUGGGUUUAAUAACCUUACUUCCAUUUUUUCAUUGGACCAUUAGGCAGUCUUACAAAAUUGCCUACUCGAAAUUCUUUCAUCUAAAAACUCACCCAACCCCUAAGCUCAUUAGCACUAUAGAAGUCAACUGUAUUUCCCCAGGCACUUCUAUAAUCUCAACACAGAUGGGUCUAGUUUUGGAAAUCCUAGUAGGGGUGGCAUAGGAGGUAUUAUGAGGAACUCUAAUGGUGACUAGAUCUUGGGCUUCUCUCAGAGUUUUUUUCAUGCCACUAAUAAUUUUAUGGAACUUGUUUAAUGCAUGACACUAACAAUUUUAUUGAACUUCUAGCUCUUAGAAAAGGCCUGCAGCUAGUUUUGGAGUAUAAUCUCAACCCCAUUGUUAUAAACAUUGACUCUGAAGACGUGAUGCAUUUGCUUUAAAAUGUAAAAUCCACUCUUUAACCUUUACAUUCAUGAUUGCAGGUUGAUGCUAAGAAGGCUAAGCAGACCCCUUGUCCAACAUAGCUACAGGGAACAGAACAAAGUAGCGAAUGUUCUGGCAAAGGAAGGUGCAAAAAAUAACUUUGUGGAAAACUAAAAGAUUUUUGUUGCUCCUUUCCCCCACCCCCACCCCCUUGUAUACCAUACAAUAUGGGAUGAUAUGCAAGGGAAAAGUUUCUGUAGGACAAUUUCUAACCUGCAAAUGCUUGGCUACACAAUCUUCAAAAACAUAAUAUUACUAUUUAAAAAACUAUCCAUAUUCAGCAACUAUGUGCAUGCCUCACUCUUCUAAUCUGAUUUUUUUCAUCAAUCAACCCAUUCCCGGUCUCUUCUCUUUCUCUCUUUAGUAUUUUUUUCAUGACAGAUUCAGAAUUUAAAGUUGUGAAUUUCAAAUUUUAAUUCUAUUCUGAGUUAGUUUAAUAUUAUAAUUAAAAAACACUAGGUGGUUAUUACCAUCUGUUAUAGUUUUGGUGGAUGGUAACUAUUGAUAGUGGGAGGUGAAAGACAUUCAGUGGAAUAAGUCAAAAUGCACGUAAGCUGGCACAACAUGCAGUUAUAAUAAUAAUAAUAAUAAUAAUAAUAACAAUAACAAUAACAAUAAUAAUAACACUAAUAAUAAUAAUAAUAAUAAUAAUAAUAAUAAUAAUAAUAAUAAUAAUAAUAAUAAUAAUAAUAAUAAUAAUAAUAAUAAUAAUAAUAAUAAUAAUAAUAAUAAUAAUAAUAAUAAUAAUAAUAGUCCCUUCCAUUCAAAGUUUUGAUGUAUCUUUUUAAUUCAUUUUUUCUUUUUUAGCAACUUUCUAAUUUCAAUUUCUCAUAUGACAUGUUUAAAGAUAUUUUUGUACAUUUGACAUGUCUAUUACAAAAUUCAGAAAUCUUCUUAAUUUACUUAAACUUAGUGUCAAAUCAUCAAUUUGAAACGAAGGGAGGAAUAAUUUAGUGACAGAUAUAAGAUAUAGGUUAAAGUUAUUAAGUUCUCUCCAACUCAUCAUAUCUUUCUCAUUUACUUAGUUGUUCUAUGUAUCUUGUUAUUUUGUUGCCGUUAUUUUUUUCUUUUAAUUUUGUUUUGAUUACAUCUUUUUUUAGUCAAUGUAUAUCCAAAAAGACCUAUCUAUCCUACAAAGAUAGGACUAAGAUCUGUCAACGUCGUAACCUCCUUUAGUUACUUAUGAGAUUACACCACAUAUGUUACUGUUGAUUUAAUUAUUAUUUUUUACUAUGUAUAUCAUUUGGCUAUUAACCUCCUUUGUCUCUUGAAUUUUCUAAAUUUAGAAUCAAAAUACAAUGCCUGUUAGAUAUAAUUUAAGUUGAAUCCAACUAUCUUUGUCACAGAGUAUUAGAUUCAGUUGAACUCGUUACUUUUAUUCUUUGUCGGUCUACACAUGGUUAAGUUCAAUCUAUUAUAUCUGUCAAAUGUAUUUGAUUCAAUUGAACCAGUUACAUUUAUUCUUCUUCAUCCUACUUAUACUUUGAGUUGAGUCUACUGUCUUUGUCAAAAGUAUAAGAUUCAGUUGAAUUCGUUACUUUCAUUCUCCGUCUACCUACACAUAGUUUGAGUUGAUUUGUCUUGCACUGUCAAAAGUAGUCUGUCUCUUUCAAAAGUAUUAGGUUCAAUUGAACUUAUUAACUUUUAUUCUUCAUCCGCCUACUUAAAUUUUAAGUUUUUUUUGUUGUCUUUGUCAAAAGUAUUAGAUUCAGUUGAACUCGACCCUUUUUAUUCUUCAUCCACCUUUUCAUAUUUUGAGUUGAAUCUGUUGUCUCUAUCAAAUGUAUUAGGUCUAGUUGAAUCCAUUACUUUUAUUUUCUGUCUGCCUACACAUGAAUCUUUUUGUCAAAAGUAUUAUAUUCGAUUAAACAUUAUUUUUAUUCUUAGUCCUCCUACUUAUAGUUUUCAUGAAUUUGUUGUCUCUAUCAAAAGUAUUAAAUUCAUUUGAAUUCAUUAAUUUUGUUGUUCAUUUGCCUAGACAUAGUUUGAGUUGAGCCUGCCGCCUCUCCAAAUUUAUAAAUUCAGUUGAACUCAUUAUAUUUAUUCUUUGUCCGCCUACAUAUUGUUAUAGUUGUUUUUGUUGUCGUAUGUUGUUGUAUUAUAUUCAGUUGAACUCAUUAUUUUUAUUCUCCGUUUGCCUACACAUAGUUUGAGUUGAUUCUAUUACCUCUAACAAAUGUAUAGAUUCAGUUGAACUCAUUACUUUUAUUCUUCGUCCACCUACACAUUUUUUGAGUUGAUUUUGUUGUCAUAUGUUGUCGUAUUAGAUUCAGUUGAACUCAUUACUUUUAUUCUUCAUCCACCCACACAGUUUUUGAGUUGGUUUUGCUCUCGUAUAUUGUCGUAUUAGAUUCAUUUGAAUUUGUCCCUUCUAUUAUUUGUGCACCUCUACAUAGUUUGAGUUGAUUUUGCUAUGGUAUUUUUUCGUAUUUGAAUCUAUUACUUCAAUUCUUCGUCCACCUCUACAUAAUUUGAGUUGAAUUUGUUGAAAUCACUCUAAAUUUACCUCAACUUUUUUUUCAACUGGUUGCUCAGUUCCGCCAGCAAGCAAUGCAGAUGAGGUACUGCGUAUUUCAUAGCCAAGAUUUCAAAAAUAUAGCGAAAUGCAAGAAGCUAUUAUGAAUUUAUGAUAGAAAUGAAUAGGAUAUAGAGACAAUUAUUAUUGAAUGAAAGUGAAUAAAUUUUUAAACCCUGGGGGUUGUACUACACAGUGAGGGACUAAGUCCCUCAAGGUCAAUCAUAGGCAAAAACUAGUAAAAUAGCCAGGAAUCAAAAGACAGUGCAGGAAGAGUAAAAAACACAAGAUUUUAAUGUGGAAACACCAUUGCUCAAGGAAGGGAAAAAUCAUGGCUUGCCCUCAAAAGCACUUCAAAAUUCACUAUAAUCAAACUCUUGAUUACGUCCUUUACUGAACCUAACUAUAGGUUCCUUUCGCUUGUAAUAACUCUAUUAUAAGCUCAUCUUGACAACUUUGCCAAGGACUCUGUACAUUGAUUAACUCCAAUCAGUAACAAGCUUAGGCAUAUCUACCUAAGCACUUCUCUUAUCAAAGAAUAACACUACUCUUAUAACAUGAGUAGUUCAAUUACAAAUCAGAUCUCACUCAAGAACAAUUUCUAUUUAAGCAUACAUAAUCAGCUAAGAACUUGAGCAGUGUUGAAAAAUUAGACUUUUGUUGCCUCUCUUCACUCUUUGUAAUUGCAAAAAAUCAUUUGAUGAAGAAGCAUCUUUUCCUUUUAUAGAUGAGUGAUGAUUAGUGCUGAAAAAGAUUGGUCCAGGUGCCCCAUUCAGUGCUAGAAACACCUGAAAGUUUGUUACAUAAGAAGACAAAACUUGUGUAGACGCGCAUGUAGGAUCUGUUGUUCCAUAUACAUCCAGGUAUCUGGUCCCUUGCAACUAGCUGCUCAUUAUCAAAACUAUAUAUAGAAAUUUCCCCCCUUUCUGAUGAUGACAAACCAACCAUACAACUGUAAGCAUCAAUACGCAUCCAUCAUAUUUAAUCAAUAUGAUUACCACUCUAGAGAUGAAUUUUCCCCCUAUCAUUAUGCUUCCACCAUCAUGCAAUAUAGGGACCUAGUCCCUGGUAGUCAUUUGUGGUAAAACCUUCUCAGCACAUGUUUGCUUUCCCUAUCAAUGUUGUUAUUUACAACAUAUGUUUUGCUCUUCUCGUCACUGUGUCUUACCAUAUCAGUAACAUGAGCACACACACACUUGAUCCUCACAUAUGAAAUCAGUAUUCCCCCUUUUACCAUCAUUGAAAAGAAUCAACAGUAAACCAAGAGUAAAGAUAAGUAUAAGAUAAUUAACUCAUGACCGCUGGGGCGACACUAACAUGAAGAAUAUCUUUAAAAUAAAUCUAAAAUAAUUAGCUUUAACAUUCACUAAUUAGGAUAAAUACCAUAACAAUAUUCAAAAAAUAAUUAUAAAAAGUAUUGUUUGCAAAGGACAUAAUAGAAACUGACUCAGGAAGUUGACACAAUAGGACUCAGGUAGAAGGGGGUUUAGGGGAGAGAGAUUUUAGUAACAUCUCCAUUCCAGCAGCCCAAACAGUAUGAACAUUCAGUAAUUGCUUGGUGAGAGUUCAUACUUCAACAUCAUUCCUAUGAUUUCACCAGUCAACUCUACAAUUUAGGCCUUGAGUUUUUCAUUUUUUUCUAUAAGUUUUUCAGUGGUACCAGGUCCCUUAGGGACUUUCUUUCUUUUGAUAGCACUAUGUUUCUUUUUUCUUAUAGCAGGACUACUAGACUUUGGAUCAGAGGACCUGGUCCUCUCAGCAACAUGAACUUCUUGUAUUUUCUUCCUAGUUACAAUUACAAUAUUAGUGUUAAUAUCCUCAUCUAACCCAUCCCCCACUACUUAAAUAUACCCCUUUAACUAUGACAAUUUUUUUGAGUCUUCUUCUUUCGGUGGUAGAGGACUUACUUUCCUUCAUGGCACCUACUAGUAAAUUUUGUGCAGAUCUCCUAGUGGAAUAAGAUCUAGCACCUUCUACACCAGUUUCAAUAAUUUUCUCCUUUCCUUUACUGUCCUUAAGUUUCUUCAUUUUCCAAAUCAGAUGUUGUUCAUCAUCAUCCUUUUCAUUUUCCUACUUUGGGGGUAAUACAAACUCUCUAUCUUCUUUCAACUCAAUUUUUUCUCCUGUUAUUUAACAUUCCCCACUAGCACAACCUUUCUUGGGAUCAUUUCCAAGUAAAAGUAAAUUUUCAGCUACCAAAUUUAUGUUGCUGAGAGAACCAAAUUUCUUUACAAGAAUCUUUUCAUCAAUAUGAUUAGCAAAUAUAGAGUUUGACUUAGAAAGGGUAGGAGAACCAGGUCCUUAUAAAAUUAUCUGAAAUUUUAGUACCUUUCAAUUCCUUAGAGGGAACCUGGAUUUGAGUGGCAUUAGAGGACUCUGAUUUUUCUAAGGAAUGAGGUCCUUUAGAUUGAAGAAUCUUUUGCUCUUUUGGAGAGCGAUAACCUUUGUUUAGGUUAUCUAUUUGGACAGAACAUUCACUGAGGCUUAGAGUUUCGGCUGGAAUGUCUUAAGAAUCUCACGGAAAGGACUAACGACUGACACUCUUUAUGGAUCUUGAGAAUUAUCAGCGGGUAAAUCUUUCAGGGGGCUUGAAGGGGAGGAAAUUUCAGACAUUUUGAGAUUUUUUGAGAUAAAAAGAGGAGGGACCAGUUUUGAUAAAGUUUUGAGUUAAUUGAGAAGAGAAUGAAUUAAGUGGAAUUGAAUUUAUAAUUUAAAAAUUAAUUGUUUGACAUAUAAUAGAUACCUUUUUGAAAUGAUGCAUCUGAUGAGAAUGGUUGUAACUCUUCACAUUUAAACCAAAUUGACAGCUUUUGUUCAUAUGGGAUUGGACAAGUGGCCCUUUUAAAAUAGAAAUUUUAUAAAAAAAUUUAAGGCACAUUAUUUUGGUACUCACCUGAGAGAUAGGACUAGGUCCCUCUCUUUCUUGAGUGAAUUUUUAGCUUGUGAUUUCUUCAACUAUUUUUUUCCAAAGCUGUUCCCAUGGGUGUAUAUCUACAAAGGUAUAAUACUAAGUUAUAUUAACAUGCACUUACUUUAUCAUAGAUACCUGUCUCCUUAAUAUAUCCAAUUUUGUGGAGUGACACUGACUCAGAUCUUAUGUCAGGGCAUUUUGAUCAAGCUCAGUCUCAAUUUGCUCUUUUAGAGCAGGUUUGAGGACCAAGUUCUAGAUUUUUUCUUCACUCAUACUGCCUCAAGUUUCUUCUUUUUGGAUGAAUUCCUUUGGGACCCAGGUCCUUGUAAUCAUCUCUUACAAAGUGAGACACUUCCACAUUGAAGUGUCUUGAGAUUGACAAUUUAAUUAGAUCUUUAAAAAUUGAGUAUACAACGCCACUAUUAACACACAUUUCCUAACUGCAAUCCCCUUUCUCAUACCUGAAUUCAUGAUCACAAGGUGGAUUUGCUGUAACACGUCAUAAAAUUUUCCAUGCGUUAGCUCGUGGUAAUAUGCGCUUAGAGUUAAAUGACUAGAAUAGUGUCAAAGAGACUUAGUCUUUUUUUUUGGCUUCCAAAAUGAGUAAAGUUUAAACCAUAUAUAAUUUCCCCAAUUUCGAAUUUUUAUCAUGUGAAAAAUUGAAUGAGCUUUCUGUCGAUAUAAGAUUCUCCCAAAUCCGAUACCCGAGCAAAAAGUUAUGGCUAAUUUAAGUUCUAGUUGUAAAUCACUGUCAUUUUGGUGCUUGGUGCAUCGCGAAGGGGGCCUAUUUAGAAAUUGUCAAAAUCCAGUAGAAUAGAGAAUUAUGGCAUGUCGCACUGAAGUUUUAGGUCCCAACCAGUGGGACAACGCGAUGGCUCCGCAUCGCAGUGACCUUCAGAAUCCCAUUCGUCAAUUUCCAGUGAGCCUCCGUGAUUGUGGCGCGUCACGGUGCCCCAUGAAAUUGGGCUCCCAGUUAUAUUUGUAUUCCAUCUCAUUAAGCGUACAUUAGGUAUUUUCCACCCUCUUAUCAGGUUAAACACGGGAUUUUUAUCCCAAAUGACCUCAUUAUUUAUAUUUUCAUCAAAAACCAUCAAGAACACUCCUUAGGAUUUCAAACAAGAAAAUCCAAACAACUCAAGAUGCAACCAUGGCUUUUAAAAUUUGAUUGAAGAUUUGGAAUCCUCAAGCCAUGGGCACAAAGAAUCAUCCUUUAAAUUUCUAAAUAGAGGUACGUGGGGUUAAUCCCAAAAAUGUAUGGGCUUGUUGAAAACACUCAAUUAUGAUUUAUAGAUUAUAAAGCAUGAAUUUGUUAAAGGGGUUUGAAAUCCAUGAUUUAAUUAUGCUUUAUGCAUGUUAUUGAUAUUGUUGUUUUGGCCUUUAGGCCUCAUCCCUAAAUUGACUUAGAAGUAUAUGUAGAUGUAUGAAAUUGACAUUUAAGAUUUGUUUGAGAGCACAGAUUAUGAAGUCCCUCUCUUGUGAUAAAUUCAAAUUUAUGAUCUUAUUGUGAAUGAUUUGAAAUGCAUGUUUUAUGGAUCGAAAAUAGUUUACUCAAAUGCCAUAGUAUUUUGAGCCUGAUUUAGAGAUUUAAGAGACGGAUUUUCUUGAUGUAAAUAUAUUUUGUUAAAAGAGAAAGAUUUUCAUCACAUUAAGAGUUUUGACAUGGCCACCUUGCAUCAUUGAAAGUUUGACAAAGAGAGUUGCAUAAAUGUGUUGACAUGAGUUUUAAAGAAGGAGUUCUUUGAAAUGAUUUAUUGAUAUGGUGGUCCCGAAUUUGUUUUGAAAACAAAGAUUGUAAUAUGCUAAUAAUUGCUCAAAAAUAUGACUUGUAAGUCAAUGGUAUGACGAUACCAUAAGUAUGUAUGCCAUAAUAGAGUAUGUAUUCAGAAUAUGUUUUCAGAGAAUACAUGUUUUAAAGAGUUAAAAAUGGGCUUAAUGAGGGCUAGGUGGUUACCCGAAGAAGGCUUGAGUUCAAGUAACUCUUAGCCUGAAAUCGUGAUUUGCUAAUUCGGGUAUAUUAUUUUUACGUUGGCGAUGGUUGUGUGGCGUAGCAGAGUCAGAGACUCCAACCGUUGUAUCACACUUGGGUUUGAGGUUUCCUGUCAUGUCAAUGGCGGAUUCCAUAUGGCCCAUGGAAUUUCAGAGUUGUAGGGUAUACCACCUAGCGCAGAAGUAAAACAAAGAAUGUCUCAGAGUUCAGAUGAUUUUCUUUUAGAGUCUUUCAAAAAUGCCCAUGAGAUUUCUUACUAUAUGAUAUGUUUAUGAACUGUUUUUAAAUUGCUCUCAUAUAUAUUGAAUAUAAACAAUUAUUUUGGAUUUGCUCUAUGUACUAGUACAUUUGUAUUAACCCCUUACCUCCUCAGUCUAAGGGUCCAUCUAAUCAGUAGAGUAUCCCAGAGAGAAAAGAUCUAUACAGUGGUGAGACUUCUUUAUUCCAGAAGGCCUAUUAUUUUAGAUUAUGUUAUUCUGUUGUUUUGAUCUACUGGGGCCUUGUCCCAGCUUUCAGAUAGUUGUCAGAUUUUCAUGUAGUAGAGAUUUUGUAGACUGUUCCAAUGUUGUUUAGUUGAGUUUGGAUUUCAUUCCUUAUUUUUAAACUAAAUACAUAGUAUGACAAUGUUUCCGUAUCAAAUUAUAUUUCCGUAUAUUCUUUUAUUAUGUGAAUGUUUUGCAUGAUUACUAGAUAGAGUAGGAUGUUUGAGCCUUCAUGGAUCGAGAUGUCCAUCACGUCCAAGCCCUAGUUCUGGUCGUGACAAACUUUUUAUCAGAGCACGGUUCAUGGUCCCCGGUGUCUGCGAAAUAGCGUCGGGUAAAAUCUUGUUUAAGGGUAUGCAGAGCGCCAUACUUAUAAGCAGGAGGCUACUAGGCGUUUAGGAAUGUUUCCCGUCUUUGUAAUUUAGUUCAUGCUUUGGAGUCUAAUCUGUGCUCUAAUUCGUGAUAUCUUGCAUUUCAGAAAAAUAAUCAUACCUCCCUGUCGUACUAACGAUCAGAAUGUUAAGACAGAUAAGGUCCAUCCCAAUUAUGGGAUGAGGACCCGAAACAAAGCUCAAACUCCAGAGAUUGAUACUUCUCUGGGAGUCCCACUUACUCAGACCAACCCACCUAGGGCACCCAGAGCUCUCUGAACGGGAACUAACCAUACUUACCCACGCGAGAGAGGUAUCUAAUGCAGAAUUCAGACAGUCCAUUCACAUGCUUUCCCAAUUGGUAGCCACACAGACUCAAUGAUCGAAAUAUAUUGGGUAUACAUCUAUUAAGUCUUAGGCUACAAGACUGGGCCAGUUCAUGAGGAUAAACCCACCCAAGUUUACUGGUACUAAGGUAGAAGAGGAUCCACAGGAGUUUAUGGAUGAGAUGGAGAAGAUCUUUAACGUGAUGCAUGUAGAUGAGGUAGAGGGGAUUGAGUUAGUAUCUUACCAUCUUAAGGAUGUAGUGAACCAAUGGUAUAACGAUUGGGAAGAUUCAAAGAGUAAGCAUUUAAGCCUUCCUUGAUUGAUUCUUUUCUCUCGAGCUAAGGGAGGCCAAAGCCGAAGAGUUUAUGAAUCUUAAAUAGGGUAAGAUGAGUGUCCAAGAGUACACUCGAGGUUCAACCAACUAGCCAUUAUGCUCCAGAGAUGACUAGUAACAUGAGAUCCCGAAUGAGGGAAUUUGCAACCGGCCUUUCAGAUGACUUAGAGCUUGAAUGUCAGGGACCAAUGUUGAAUCGGGACAUGGAUUUUACCAGACUAUCAGUCCACAUACAGCAAGUUGAGGAAAAGAAAAAAAUUGCUGAAUCUAGAGAGAAGGACAGACAAGAAAAGAGAUCCAAAAUAGCAGACCAGAGCUACAGUCAGUAGCAGAGUGGGAAUUGGUGUAACAAAUGGUAGAAGAAGAAGAAUUGGGGUAAUGCGCAAUCUACAACCAGUGCCCCGAUGACCAGAACCUAGUGGGAAAGCACACUCAAGAUUUUUAGUAUAGGCAGGGGCCGAGAUGCAGGGUUCACAGUCUCAAGGAAGUUAGCUUAGACUCUCGGACAUACCCGCGCUGUGAGAAAUACAUGAGGAAUCAUCUAGGGAGAUGUCAGUUUGGUGCUAUGGUGUGUUAUUCGUGCGGUCAGCCAGGCCAUAUCCAGAGAGAAUAUUCGGAAGCAAAGGUUAAUGUUGGUGGAGCCAAGUCACAGGCUAAUUCUUAUGCACCACCACCACCUCAGAAGGGUGCCAUUUCAGCCGCCGAAAAUGACUACAACUCGUUGUACGCCUUGACUAACCGCAAAGAGGCAGAGGCCUCACCGAAUGUAGUUACUGGUAUGUUACAAAUCUUUUCCUGUAAUGUGUAUAGAAAUUGUGUGGUGACUGUUUGUUGGCAGGAUAUGGUGGCAAUCCUCGUUGACUUAGACAUGGUUGAUUUUGAUGCUAUCUUAGGGAUGGAUUGGCUUCAUUCGUGCUAUGCCACGCUAAAUUAUAGAACCCGAAAGGUUACUUUCUCUUUCCCGAAUGAACCAACAAUAGAAUGGGAGGGACAUUCUUUAGCACCUAGAGGGAACUUCAUGUCUUGUCUCAAAGCCCGUAAACUCAUUUCUAAGGGUUGUUUGUAUCAUCUUAUUCUGGUUAAUGAGACUUAGAGUUUGAGGUUGGUGAUUGGUUGUUCCUCAAAGUCUCCCCUAUGAAGGGAGUUAUGUGAUUCGGAAAGAAAGGUAAGCUGAGUCCUCGCUAUAUAGGGCCAUACCAGAUUUUGAGAAGGAUAAGUAGAGUUGCGUACGAGUUAGAGUUGCCUGCAAGUUUGGAUUCUGUUCAUCCGGUAUUUCACAUAUCCAUGUUAAAGAAAUGUAUUGGAGACCAUUAAUUAGUAUUGCCUGUAGAGGAAGUCAAAGUGACAGACUCCUUAUCCUAUAAAUAAGAGCCCGUGGCAGUCUUGGAUCGCCAAGUUAGGAAACUGAGGAGCAAAGAAAUAGUCUUGGUCAAAGUGUUGUGGAAAUAUCAGAAAGUUGAAGAAGCCACUUGGGAAUCAGAAAAUGACAUGAGAGAUAGAUAGCCAGACUUAUUUAAUUCGAUGAAUGAAGAAAUGGAAGGUACAAUCCUUAUCUUAUUCUUUUAUGGCCUUAGUGUACCUUAAAUCAUGCUUUUCUGUGUUUUGUGGACUAAUGUAAUACCUCGCAAAAUUGUUCAUGCGUUAGUUCGUGGUAAUAUGCUAUUAGAGUUAAAUGACUAGAAUAGUGUCAAAGAGACUUAGUCUUAUUUUUGUCUUCCAAAAUGAGUAAAGUUUAAACCAUAUAUAAUUUCCCUAAUUUUGACUUUUUAUCAUGUGGGAAAUUGAAUAAGCUUUUUGUCGAAAUAAGAUUCGCCCAAAUCCGAUACUCGGGUAAGAAGUUAUAGCUAAUUUAAGUUUUAGUCAUAAGACACUGUCAUUUUGGUGCUUGGUGCAUCGCGGAGGGGGCCUAUUUAGAAAUUGUCAAAUUCCAAUAGCAUAGCGCUAUUUUGGUGUGUCGCGCUAAAGUUUUAGGUCCCAACCAGUGGAACAACGUGAUAGCUCCGCAUCGCGGUGACCUUAAGAAUCUCACUCGUCAAUUUCCAGUGAGCCACCGCGAUUGUGGCGCAUUGUGAUGGCCCAUGAAAUCAGGCUCCAAGUUAUAUUUUUAUUCCAUCUCAUUAAGGGUACAUUAGGUAUUUUCCACCCUCUUAUCAACUUAAACACGGGAUUUUUAUCCCAAAUGACCUCAUUAUUGAUAUUUUCAUCAAAAAUCAUCAAGAAUACUCCUUAGGGUUUCAAACAAGAAAAUCCAAACAACUCAAGAUUCAACCGUAGGUUUUUAAAAUUAAUUAAAGAUUUGGAAUCCGCAAACCGUGGGCACCAAGAAUCAUCCUUUAAUUUCCUAAAUAGAGAUACAUGGGGUUUAUCCUAAAAAUACAUGGGCUUGUUGAAAACACUCAAUUAUGAUUUAAAGAUUAUAAAGCAUGAAUUUGUUAAAUGGGUUUGAAAUCCAUGAUUUUAUUAUUCUUUAUACAUGUUAUUGAUAUUGUUGUUUUGGCCUUUAGGCCUCAUCCCCUUAAAUUGACUUACAAGUAUAUUUAUAUGUUUGUAAUUGAAAUUUAAGAUUUGUUUGAGAGCACAAAUUAUGAAGUCCCUCUCUUGUGAUAAAUUCAAGUUUAUGAUCUUAUUAUGAAUGAUUUGAAAUGCAUGUUUUAUGGAUUGAAAAUAGUUUACUUAAAUGCCAAAUUAUUUUGGGCAUGAUUUAGAGAUUUAAGAGACGGAGUUUCUUGAUUUAAAUAUAUUUUGUUAAAAGAGAAAGAUUUACAUGAGGUUAAGAGUUUUGAUAUGGCCACCUUGCAUCAUUGAAAGUUUGACACAGAAAGUUGCAUACAUGUAUUUACAUGAGUUUUAAAGAAGGAUUUCUUUGAAAUGAUUUAUUGAUAAGGUGGUCCCGAAUUUAUGUUUUGAAAACAGAGAUUGUAAUAUGCUAAUAAUGGCUCAUAAAUGUGACUUGCAAGUCAAUGGUAUGACGAUACCAUAAAUAUGUAUGGUAUAACAGAGUAUGUAUUCAAAAUAUGUUUUUAGAGAAUGCAUGUUUUAAAGAGUUAAAAAUAGACUUAAAGCGGGCGAGGUGGUUACUCGAAGAAGGCUUGAGUUCAAGUAACUCUUAGCCUAAAACCACGAUUUGCCGAUCAGGUAUAUCAUUUUUACGCUGGCGACGGUCGUAUGGUGUAGAGGAGUCAGAGACUCCAACCCUUGCAGCAUACUUGGGUUGGAGGCUUCCCCGCCGAGUCAAUGGUGAAUUUCAUAUGGCCCAAGGAAUUUCAGAGUUCUAGGGUAUUCUACCUAGCGCAGAAGUAAAACAAAGAAUGUCUCAAAGUCAGAUGAUUUUCUUUGAGAGUCUUUUAGAAAUGCCCAUGAGAUUUCUUACUAUAUGAUAUGUUUAUGAACUAUUUUUAAAUUACUCUCAUAUAUAUUAAAUAUAAAUUAUUAUUUUGGAUUUACUCUGCUUACCAAUACAUUUGUAUUGGUCCCCUACCUCCCAGGUUUGGAGGCUCAGUCUAAGGGUCUGACUAAUCAGUAGAGUAUCCCAGAGAGAAGUGAUCUGUGCAGUGGUGUUCCUUCUUUGUUCCAGAAGGCCUGUUAUUUUAGAUUAUGUUAUUCUGUUGUUUUAGUCUACUGGGGGCCUGUCCCAGCUUUCAGAUAGUUGUCAGAUUUUCAUGUAGUAGAGAUUUCGCAGACUAUUCCAAAUGUUGUUUAGUUGAGUUCGGAUUUCAUUCCUUAUUGUCAAACUAAAUCCAGAGUAUGACCAUGUUUCUGUAUCAGAUUAUAUUUCCGCAUCUCCUUUUAUUAUGUGAAUACUGUGCAUGAUUACCAGAUAGAGUAGGACACCCAGACUUCAUGGUUCGGGAUUUCCAUAACCAGCUGCAGCCUUCCUUCUUGAUUUUUUAGGGACCUGGUCCCUUAACUUUCCCUUUUCACCUGCAGCUUUAAGGUAAUACUUAUAGUCCAUUUUGUAUAUUGGACAAUCCUUAAUGAAAUUCUCAGGACUUCCACAUUUGUGACACACCUCAACAUUACUUCC